This 326-nucleotide long non-coding RNA is filed under the name Elaeis guineensis (African oil palm). RNAcentral's name for it is "long non-coding RNA (EGUI_LNC036065)". The record is from RNAcentral. Lineage: Eukaryota; Viridiplantae; Streptophyta; Magnoliopsida; Arecales; Arecaceae.
UCCUUUCAGUGGGUUAGAAUAGUUUCACUCUAACUCGACAAAGAUCAUUAAUCUAAAACGAUCCUAUUGAGCUCUCACAAUCUAUCAAUGACAUAUAGUAAUAUGUAGUGGCAAUCCAGCAUAACCAAAAUAAAACUUUUAGGUGUAGUUAAUGUAUGAUACAGUUUCUCUAUCAUGAGUCCUGACUAAAUGGCAGAUCAUGGAUAAAUCGUCAAACUUCAUCAUCAGUCAUAUGAUAAAUCCGAUCAGCUCAAGUCCAUUAGUGAUUCUAAAUAAAUUUUUUUCAUCAAUCACACUGCUAUGGCCAUAGACUUAUGGACUCAGUU